AGCGACGUGUGGCGUAUCUGCUUUGUUUUGACUUCUUUCCAGACACAUUUUAGUUUGCAUGAGUAUUUGAAGGUCGGAUCAGACAGGAUUUACAGCACAAUGGCACCUCACACCACUUCACCAAUUCCGGUGCCCAGUUAGCCUUGGAGCCAACAGGUGAGCCUUUUUGGACCUGGAUUCCAACUAUUGGUGUCUGCAGAAGCAAAGGCAGCCUGGAGGGAGCUGACCAGGACUGCCUGUGUGACCUUUGGUUGACCUUGGGCUCUGUUCUAUGCUGUGUGAAACUUGAGCCUCAUAGAAAACCACAAGUCGUUUCCAGCAAGCAGCCAGAAGCAACUGCAGACUAAGAAGGAGCUUUCACAGGGAUGUGCACCCUCUCUUUCAUCUGCCUACAACUGCACAGGAUUCUAAGUGAGAACUGCCCGUCUGAACCCCGUAGAGAAAGCACCAAAAACAACUGAUAAUUUCAAUUAUGAGCAUAUGUGGAACUGACAUAUGCAGAAUCUUGGGGGUUUUGUUUUUGUGUUUGUGUGUUUGUUUGUUUGUUUGAGACAGAGUUUCUCUGUAGCUUUGGAGUCUGUCUUAGAACUUACUCUGUAGACCA
Myodes glareolus (Bank vole) is the source of this 604-nucleotide non-coding RNA. Lineage: Eukaryota; Metazoa; Chordata; Mammalia; Rodentia; Cricetidae. The record is from RefSeq and is a predicted model, not a curated record.